AGAGUUUGAUCAUGGCUCAGGAUGAACGCUGGCGGCGUGCCUAACACAUGCAAGUCGAGCGAUCUUCUUCGGAAGAGAGCGGCGGACGGGUGAGUAACGCGUGGGUAACCUACCUCAUACACAUGGAUAACAUACCGAAAGGUAUACUAAUACAAGAUGAUAUAAGAGAUUCGCAUGGAUUUCUUAUCAAAGCUCCGGCGGUAUGAGAUGGACCCGCGUCUGAUUAGCUAGUUGGUAAGGUAACGGCUUACCAAGGCGACGAUCAGUAGCCGACCUGAGAGGGUGAUCGGCCACAUUGGAACUGAGACACGGUCCAAACUCCUACGGGAGGCAGCAGUGGGGAAUAUUGCACAAUGGGCGAAAGCCUGAUGCAGCAACGCCGCGUGAGCGAUGAAGGCCUUCGGGUCGUAAAGCUCUGUCCUCAAGGAAGAUAAUGACGGUACUUGAGGAGGAAGCCCCGGCUAACUACGUGCCAGCAGCCGCGGUAAUACGUAGGGGGCUAGCGUUAUCCGGAUUUACUGGGCGUAAAGGGUGCGUAGGUGGUUUCUUAAGUCAGGAGUGAAAGGCUACGGCUCAACCGUAGUAAGCUCUUGAGACUGGGAAACUUGAGUGCAGGAGAGGAAAGUGGAAUUCCUAGUGUAGCGGUGAAAUGCGUAGAUAUUAGGAGGAACACCAGUAGCGAAGGCGGCUUUCUGGACUGUAACUGACACUGAGGCACGAAAGCGUGGGGAGCAAACAGGAUUAGAUACCCUGGUAGUCCACGCCGUAAACGAUGAGUACUAGGUGUCGGGGGUUA
RNAcentral lists this ribosomal RNA (796 nucleotides) under uncultured bacterium. Its description in RNAcentral is "bacterial SSU rRNA". It matches the Rfam family "Bacterial small subunit ribosomal RNA", at positions 8 to 832 of the family's 1533-position model. The record is from RNAcentral.